UAUCUCUGUAGAGUCUGCAUAUCAAUAAGCGGAGGAAAAGCCGGUGAGUUGCAUGAGUACGCGCAGAAUGGCGGCGCUGGCGAUAUGCAUGGUGAUGCUGGUGACCACAGCAGUCGCAGGCGCAGCGGGACUUUUGUUUUCGGAUGAAUACGACGCAGUGCGGCUGGCGCACCGUGCGUUGGCGGAGGAAUAUGGUAUCACUGAGGAGAUGCAGACCUAUUUUGCCCAAGAGGUAUGCGAGGAAAACGGCGUGACUAAGGUCAUUUUCAACGGCAUGACAGGUAUGUCUCAUGUGCUGGGCGAGUACAUCGUGACCAUCGAGGACGGCAAUGCUACGGUUACAUGGUCGCAUGACGGGCAGUCUACCGAGGGGGAGCUUGACGCGCACGCAUGGGGCGCAAAGCAGCUUGAGAUCUUGCUGGAGAUGGCCAAGCAGGAAAAUGGUUUUUCCCGUGGCUAUCACAAGGCGCAGGAGAUCCGCGCGCAGAUGGAUGGUGAAGAGCUGUCGGUGUCCAUCACCAAGGGCGGCAAUGCGAGCAUUGUGAAACUCGAGGGAACGCAGAUUGAUCGGGCGGUUAUCAGUGUCAGCGAGGAGGGAGCCAUUGCGAUUGCCAAGCAGGCGUUUGCGCAUGAAUACGCCCUCACGCAGGAACAGCUUGACCUGAUGCUCUAUGAAAAGGACUACGCGGGCUAUACCUACGCUUAGGAUGUUGACGAGACUGUCGAUCUCAUCUAUACAUGACUCUGGCAUAUCAAUAAGCGGAGGAAAAGGCGGCGGAGGGUAUUGGUGUGGGCGUACCUGCGCUUAGGAUGUUGACACGCGGGCGUGCUCGAUCUAUACAUGACUCUGCGCAUAUCAAUAAGCGGAGGAAAAGGCUGCGGAACUGAACGACCGCUACCUACGCUUAGGAUGUUGACACACGCGCGUGCUUGAUCUAUACAUGACUCUGCGCAUAUCAAUAAGCGGAGGAAAAGUACCUACGCUUAGGAUGUUGACACACGCGCGUGCUCGACUCUAUACAUGACUCUGCGCAUAUCAAUAAGCGGAGGAAAAGCGCAUUAAAGGUCCAGAUACCUACGCUUAGGAUGUUGACGAGGACUGUCGAUCUCAUCUAUACAUGACUCUGCGCAUAUCAAUAAGCUGGAGGAAAAGGCACUACCUACGCUUAGGAUGUUGAUCUACAGAGCGAGAGU
RNAcentral lists this ribosomal RNA (1194 nucleotides) under uncultured Neocallimastigales. Its description in RNAcentral is "partial large subunit ribosomal RNA". The record is from RNAcentral. Lineage: Eukaryota; Fungi; Neocallimastigomycota; Neocallimastigomycetes; Neocallimastigales.